CCUACGGGUGGCAGCAGUCGGGAAUAUUGCGCAAUGGAGGAAACUCUGAAGCAGCGACGCCGCGUGCAGGAAGAAGGUCCUCGGAUUGUAAACCGCUUUAGACAGGGAAGUAAAAAGACAGUACCUGUAGAAUAAGCUCCGGCUAACUACGUGCCAGCAGCCGCGGUAAUACGUAGGGGGCAAGGGUAACCCGGAUUUAUUGGGGGUAAAGGGUGCGUAGACGGAGAAGCAAGUUAGUUGUGAAAUCCCUCGGCGUAACUGAGGAACUGCAACUAAAACUACUUCCCUUGAGUACUGGAGAGGAAGGUGGAAUUCCUGGUGUAGCGGUGAAAUGCGUAGAUAUUAGGAGGAACCCCGGUGGCGAAGGCGACUUUCUGGACUGUAACUGACGUUGAGGCACGAAAGUGUGGGGAGCAAACAGGAUUAGAUACCCUAGUAGUC
This 441-nucleotide ribosomal RNA is filed under the name uncultured bacterium. RNAcentral's name for it is "partial 16S ribosomal RNA". It matches the Rfam family "Bacterial small subunit ribosomal RNA", at positions 338 to 795 of the family's 1533-position model. The record is from RNAcentral.